Phyllostomus discolor (pale spear-nosed bat) is the source of this 1115-nucleotide long non-coding RNA. RefSeq lists it as uncharacterized. The transcript is spliced from 2 exons. NCBI's taxonomy places the organism in Eukaryota, Metazoa, Chordata, Mammalia, Chiroptera, Phyllostomidae. The record is from RefSeq and is a predicted model, not a curated record.
GCACAGUCUCCAAUCUCUCCCUGCUGAAGAACCUUUUCAAUCUACCAACAAAAAUAACAUUAGAACAACAUACAUAAAUUAUAUCCAUGUAACGUAAUCUAUGCAACUAUCAAAACUAGGUUUUGUCACAAUAUUUGUUGAUAUGGGAAUAAUAUGUCUGUGGCUUAUUUUCUAUUUAGAAAAUUAGUAUAAAAAGUACUAUGUAGUUUUAUAAAAAGAUCAUAAAAGCAUAUUGGAAAGAUGAUAGUAGAUAAACAGCAAAUGUUAAUAGUUAUCUUUUUAUGAUGGCAUUAUAUGCGGUUUAUUUUAUUCCUGUUGCUUAUGUGUAUUUUCUAUUUUUAAACAAUAAACUUGUACUAUACCUACAAUAAAAAUGCAAUAAAAAUUAUUUCAUAAAACAAAACCCAUAAGACAUAUGUAGGAAGUGAAAAGCUCAUUUUCUUUAUUAUUACUUACAGUGUAAAAAAGACUUAUGACCCCUGUAAAAGUCAGGUUGGGGACUCAAACCAUCCACAAAAUGAAUAAAUGAACAAAAUAAAUUAUCUGUAAUUGUCUCCCUUGUAUUUCCUAUUAGGGCUGCUUCUCCGGAUUUAACAGGCUUACACAGAAACCAAAAGCAGUGGGACAGUACAGCUUUUUACUUUGCUGACUGGCUGGCAAUAUGAAAAUGCUACUACUGUCAAAUGUCUUCUCCGUUUUUGCCUCAGGAUCUGCAAUGGCAGUGACAAAACUGACUUUGGGAGAGCGCAUAUUGAAGAUGGAGGAGCCACUGCCAGCUUGGGUUCCUGAAUGACUGAGGGGCUCAGACCACUGCUGACCCAGCACCCCAAUGCUGGGUUGCUGGGAAACAAAUCCAGAGGUUUCUUUAAGCCUGUGGUUCUCAAAAUGUGAUCCCCUUACCAGCAGCUUAGGCGUCACCUGGGAACCUGUUAGAAAUGCACAUCCUCAGGCCCCACCCAAACCUACUGAAUCAGAAACUCUGAGGGUGAGUUUAAUAUCUGUUUUAAUAAGCUCUCCAGGUGGUAGUGAUGCACAGUCAAGUUUAGGAACUACUGCCUCAAACUAGGGCAUUUGGGGGACUCUUGGUUUUAGUAGUUAUCAUACCCUAACUCAUA